GGAAUGUAGCUCAGAGGUAGUGCACUUUCUUAGCAUGCAUGAGUCCCUGAGUUCAAUCCCCAGCACCA
Molecule: transfer RNA, 68 nt
Filed under: Marmota monax (woodchuck)
Lineage: Eukaryota; Metazoa; Chordata; Mammalia; Rodentia; Sciuridae
Description: tRNA.Ala
Source: RNAcentral